GCGGACGUGGCCAAGUGGAUUAAGGCAGUGGUUUGUGGAGCCACUAUGCGCGGGUUCAAUUCCCGUUCGUUCA
Molecule: transfer RNA, 73 nt
Filed under: Physcomitrium patens
Lineage: Eukaryota; Viridiplantae; Streptophyta; Bryopsida; Funariales; Funariaceae
Also listed under: 5 other names
Description: Physcomitrella patens partial tRNA-His
Rfam family: tRNA
About the family: Transfer RNA (tRNA) molecules are approximately 80 nucleotides in length. Their secondary structure includes four short double-helical elements and three loops (D, anti-codon, and T loops). Further hydrogen bonds mediate the characteristic L-shaped molecular structure. tRNAs have two regions of fundamental functional importance: the anti-codon, which is responsible for specific mRNA codon recognition, and the 3' end, to which the tRNAs corresponding amino acid is attached (by aminoacyl-tRNA synthetases). tRNAs cope with the degeneracy of the genetic code in two manners: having more than one tRNA (with a specific anti-codon) for a particular amino acid; and 'wobble' base-pairing, i.e. permitting non-standard base-pairing at the 3rd anti-codon position.
Source: RNAcentral